RNAcentral lists this ribosomal RNA (421 nucleotides) under bacterium. RNAcentral's name for it is "partial 16S ribosomal RNA". It matches the Rfam family "Bacterial small subunit ribosomal RNA", at positions 355 to 777 of the family's 1533-position model. The record is from RNAcentral.
UGGGGGAUAUUGCACAAUGGGCGAAAGCCUGAUGCAGCGACGCCGCGUGGGGGAUGAAGGCUUUCGGGUUGUAAACCUCUUUCGCUAUCGAACAAGGCCCGCUUAGGGUGGGUUGAGGGUAGGUGGAGAAGAAGCGCCGGCUAACUACGUGCCAGCAGCCGCGGUAAUACGUAGGGCGCGAGCGUUGUCCGGAAUUAUUGGGCGUAAAGGGCUUGUAGGCGGCUUGUUGCGCCUGCUGUGAAAACGCGGGGCUUAACUUCGCGCGUGCAGUGGGUACGGGCAGGCUUGAGUGUGGUAGGGGUGACUGGAAUUCCAGGUGUAGCGGUGGAAUGCGCAGAUAUCUGGAGGAACACCGAUGGCGAAGGCGGGUCACUGGGCCAUUACUGACGCUGAGGAGCGAAAGCAUGGGUAGCGAACAGGA